UGGGGAAUCUUGCGCAAUGCGCGAAAGCGUGACGCAGCAACGCCGCGUGGGGGAAGAAGGCCUUCGGGUUGUAAACCCCUUUCAGUUGGGACGAAGCUUCGCCGGUGAAUAGCCGGCCGGAGUGACGGUACCUUCAGAAGAAGCCCCGGCUAACUACGUGCCAGCAGCCGCGGUAAUACGUAGGGGGCUAGCGUUGUCCGGAAUCAUUGGGCGUAAAGCGCGUGUAGGCGGCCCGGUAAGUCCGCUGUGAAAGUCGGGGGCUCAACCCUCGAAAGCCGGUGGAUACUGUCGGGCUCGAGUGCGGAAGAGGCGAGUGGAAUUCCUGGUGUAGCGGUGAAAUGCGCAGAUAUCAGGAGGAACACCGAUUGCGAAGGCAGCUCGCUGGGACGUUACUGACGCUGAGACGCGAAAGCGUGGGGAGCAAACAGG
This 429-nucleotide ribosomal RNA is filed under the name Bacillota bacterium. RNAcentral describes it as "Firmicutes bacterium partial 16S ribosomal RNA". It matches the Rfam family "Bacterial small subunit ribosomal RNA", at positions 355 to 776 of the family's 1533-position model. The record is from RNAcentral. Lineage: Bacteria; Bacillati; Bacillota.